This is a long non-coding RNA of Suricata suricatta (meerkat), 106 nucleotides long. RefSeq lists it as uncharacterized. The transcript is spliced from 3 exons. Lineage: Eukaryota; Metazoa; Chordata; Mammalia; Carnivora; Herpestidae. The record is from RefSeq and is a predicted model, not a curated record.
GGAAGUUGCAAAUCUUACAUUUUUACCUGUAAUACAAAGGUGAUUUCUGGAAUGGGCUCCCCUUCGGCUUCACAUGACUGCCAAGAGAGAGCUGAACACACAGGAG